RNAcentral lists this long non-coding RNA (26199 nucleotides) under Malus domestica (apple). Its description in RNAcentral is "long non-coding RNA (MDOM_LNC002316)". Lineage: Eukaryota; Viridiplantae; Streptophyta; Magnoliopsida; Rosales; Rosaceae. The record is from RNAcentral.
UCUUAUUAUCUCUAUAAAAUAAAGAAUAUAAAAUGUUAACGUGGCUUAACCGUGAUCACAUAAAACAAAAAGGCGGGCAUGGAAAAUGAAAGUGCAAACAAUCCUUGUCAUUUUCCAUAUGAUAUGAUUCCAUGUCCCCACCAUCGUCUUGUCACAUGGCAUCGUCUUGUCACCAUCUUGUCAUUAUUUCUAAUCUGGUUCUAAUUCCAAGGGGAACAUCUUCGUGUGAAAAAUAAAGUAAAAGUUUCGGGCAGGACCUUAAUGUUGGGUUCAAUUUCUACAUUUAUUAUUUACAUUUUUUACUUUUAAUCUCAACCGCUUAUUUUCUACAACACUCAUUACCACGUGCUAUGGAAAAAAAAAAAGAAAUUGAAAAGUUUCUUACUUUUUCUUGCUUUGCCUAUAUUUUCAACAUUUAUGGGACCAUUCGUGUUUAGGAUUUGGUUUGCCUAUAUGUUCAACAUUCAUGGGACCAUUCUGCUUUGCCUAUACUUUCUUGCGUUAACCAAUUUUAAGUCAGGUUAACAUGUUUUUGCACAAAACUAAUUAAGAACACACUCGAGCUGCAUAUUUAUAUUGUCAAAUUAUCGAAUUUAAUGUCACAUAAUUAAACAAAAGUAUACGUUUAUCGUUCUUUAAUUUAGAUUAACAGUGCGCUCCCUCUUUUACAUCUAAAUUUGAACCUUCAUUCUUAACUUUGCAAUUUAGAUGAGUUUAAUAUAAAUUAUCUUAUCGUUUGUUAAAAAACUCAUUUCUUAAAUAAUUAGAUGUGAUAUGUUUAAAUGCAAAUUUGUAACAAAACAAUGGAAAAGAAUAAAUAAAAAUGCAUAAGUACAAAUGUUCAUGGAAGCAAAGGUCUCGAAAACAUAUAUACUCCACAAAAUCUAGCACUAGAGUAUUGAGCCUAGAUAAUAUAACCUCUUCCCCAAUACUAAUUUAUAGCUGAUUUAUUUUGUGAUUUAGUUAAAAUUGCCAAUUCUCAUUAUCCUAAUUUCAUCAAAAAUAAAAUUAGAUAAUACCUUUAAAUUAACCACAAAAAUAACAAAACCGCAUCAAAAUCCUAAUUUUCAAUUCCACUGCAGAGAGAAAUCGAGUAGAUCCCCAUAUCCCCCAAUAAAAUGAAACAUGCAAAUGAGAAUUCAAUAAUUACAACUCAAAUUAAUAGCUUAUGCUUUCAUAGACAUCUGAAUUAUUGAAAAUUUACCCAUGUAGCCCCAGUUAGUCGAAAUCGAUCGAGCAUGAGAGAUUUUCUUUCAUAGACAUUUGUUUUAUAGACAUCUGCUUUCAAACGAGCAUGAGCGACUCGUGUAAAACAAGAUAUAGAUUAAUUUCGACGACAUGCAUCACAUGGUAAACUAUUAGAAUUGGAUAUCUACUUUUCCCUACAAUAAUAAUGAGGUGUUGUUAUUGGAACUCACAAUCAAAAUAUAAUUAUCAUUCAUUUUUCUCUCUUCGUGGCCGAAGGACUAAUUUGGAUCAAGUAUUUGAAGUUGGGAAACUGAAAAUUGUUCUUGGCAAAGGCUGUUAAGAUUACUUCAUGACUGGUGAGUGGUGAGACGACUGAUAUUUUUCUUGGUCAAUAAUGCAGUGGACCACACACGGCAAACAUAAAGUAGAAAUUGGUGGAGGUUGGAAAAAUACAGUAAAAAAAAUCAUGCAAUAUAUUUGAAUUUCACCAUUUUUCCAUAUGAUAUAAUCACAUGGGCCCCACUAUUCUCUUGUCACCACCCUCUUGGCAUCGUAUUGUCACCAUCCUCCACGAUCCUCUUGUCAUUAUUCUACUCUUAUUCCAAGGAGGCAGAUUUUAUGUCUUUCUAUUUUUCGUGCCCUUCUAUACUUUCUUACUUGUAUAGUUACGGUUAAAUCACAUCAACAUUUUAUAUUAUUAUUUUUUUUAUCUUAUUAUAUUUAUAAAAAAAUUAUAUAAAAUAUUGACGUGACUUAACCGUGAUCACACAAAACAAAAAGGCACAUAAAGACACACAAAGUGGGAGGCCAGAUAAUCUGCCUCCUUAUUCCAAAACAUCUACAUGUAAAAAAAAUAUAAUAAGAUCAAUUACCACACGACAAUGAAACAUUGAAUAUCUCAAAAUUGCCCCUUUUAUUACAGAUUAUAAAAAAUAAAAAAAAAGUAAGGACAUGAUGGUAAAACGUGGCAAGGAGAGAAAGUGGAGGAAAGAAACUAGAACGUGCUUAAAGAAAUAAAAGUGUAUUUGAAGCAGUUGUCGUAUUAAUAUCUCAUUCCAAUAUCACUUCUCCUUGCGCUCCAACUUCUCCCGUUCCCUGCAUUCCUCCAGUUUCUCUCUAUGGGUCUUACUUUUCCAUACAAAAACGGAAUCUUUACCUUUAUCUCUUAUGUAAAAUAGAGCACCAAAAUGGGCAAUCUCAAAGUGCUGCAGAGAUACGAUCCCUUCAUCAAAAAGGUUCUGAUUAUGGCUGCCUACGUCACAUUCUACUAAUUCAACAUUGAGAACAAUCAAUGGGUUCGUUUCUCGAAUUGUAACUUCCAAUUAUCCGUUUGGUUGCCCAGAAAAAAAAAAAAAAAAAACACCACAAUUAAUUCUACGAACAACGGAAAUUUGAAAUAUGAAGUGUGAAUCAAUAGGUGGAAAUGUGACACUGAUGUUGGCAAACUUUAUGGUCUUCAAUCUUGAUAAUUUAUGCACACAUUGGAAUCCAUACUUCAUAUGUUCACUUAUAUUUGUUGAUCUCUUGGCACAUCUGUACUAAAUUGUUUGGUAUUAGCCAUUUUCUUUGAUUCAUAUUUCAAUUUUGUAAGUAGCAAGAAUACCUUAGUAAAUGAAAAUAUCAAAAAUAAAAUAAAAAUUGUAAACAGUGCCAAGCGCAUGUAAUUAUAAAAUUGUAAGUCAAUCAUAGCACGUCUGAUUAAAAGCCUCUAAUCCUACCCAUUGUUAACAAUGAUAAACAACUAACGCCACAUAUUUUAGGGGCACGUAGCUCCUAUGAUUUAAAAAUGUCUCUCACAUGAAGCGAACGGAACGUAUCAAAAUCCAUGCAACCUCCUAAUAAAAUUAAAGGAGCUUUAAUGAAAAGGGUUUGAGGCUAAGCUAUUAUUUAACCAAAAAAUCACCAUAAGCUAUUAUUUAACCAAAAAAGCUUCAUAUUUAAUCAUAAGGACAAACUAACUUAUAUUAGACCCAACAAACAGUAAAAGACAUGGGCUGAAUUAAAAGCCCAAAAUGCAAUAAUUUUUUUUUCCAGCCCUGAUUGUAGCAUUAAGUGAUUUGACUCUUAAAUAAAUACAAAAAUAAGCUAUUAUCAUCAAUGUUACCUAUUAUUCAUGUUUUAAAUAGGAAUGCAUCUUAUUAAUCAAGCAACAUGAAUAAAAUCAAAUUAAUCUUAUAGUUCGACUACAAAGCAAAAAUAGCACAUGAAAUUAAAAUUACGUAGUAGCAAUAUACCAUACAAGUCGCCUUGUUAUUUUUUUUAUACAAAUCAAUUUGGAAAUCUUAUUAUUUUUAUUCUCAUCCUGUAAUGUUGCACGAUUAUUUGAACUGUUUAUGUUUAGAUCGUCAUUUAAAAACCAUCUCUACAAAAAGCUAAAUGCAUUCAAAAGUUUUUGCUCAUGUAAUGAUUAUUCAAUAAUUCUUUUGAACACUGAAAUUAUAUUAUUCUAAAAUGGUUUGACGAUAUCUUGUUUGGUUCUUUUGUUGCAAAGUUGCUCUUUAAAUAGUGGCCUAGAUAACAUACGGUUUUGAUUCUUGAGUGACAUUGCUUGAUCACAAAAAAGAAAUGAGAUAGUAGAAAGAAAAAAAAAUCACAAUAGAUUAACCAAAAUAAUUUGGUUCAAAUUUACCUUUAACGAGAAUUAAACUUAAGAUUUCUCAUAUGAAAAUUGUAGUACUAGAAUGUGAAGUUUUUUGGUAAAAGAAAUGAAGGAAAUAAAAUAGCUGGCAUGACAUCAUACUCACCAAUCACGAUGUAUAUGUUCCAUACAUGUGGGGUCUUGGCCUUCCAUUUUUCCUUAUCCGGUCAAUUACUAAGCUAGGUUAGGUUCGGGCAUUGUUAGCAAGUGGUACAUUACAUUUUCAUGGAAGCAUAAUCACGACUCAGGAAGAGGAAAAAGGAAAUAAAAAGCCACUAGAAAUGUAUAUAUUUUCCCAUGGGUGUGUUGUAAGAUUAUGUAUAUUAUAUACAAAUUUAACCAUUAUGAGGUGAUUAAGUGAUUGGGAACGAAUUUUAGACCCAUAUUUUACACGGCAUGUUCUAGGUUAGAUUUUUUGCUCUAGUGAAUCAUACGAUGAUGGCCAGAGGGAUGCCGAAACACUUUUGUGAGUCAUUCUAACCCGGAAAGGGUGGACAUGGCAAAACCACUAGAUAGUUCCCUUUUUAAAAAGAUAAAAAAUAUAUAUACACAAAUUUGCUACACCAACUAGUAUCGAGAAGUCCACAUAAGGUUUGAUUACAAAAGUUAAACUUAAAAGCCGCAGACUUGGGUGGCUAGAGCAAUGUGCUUACUCUUUUGCACCCAAGUUCAAAUCUCCGUUUUCAUAUCUAUAAUUUAGAUGAAUUUAGUAUAGAUUAUCUUAUCGUUUUUUUUUUUUUUAAAUCCUGCUUCAUGAAUAAUUCGAUAUGAUAUGUUUAAACGUAAAACUUGAGUGAAACACAGUGAAAUGAUUAGAAACCAUCUUCACCACAAAUCUGUAACAUAAACAAUUGAAAAGAACAAGUACAAAUGUUUAUAUGAGAGAAGUUGUAAGGACUUGGAUUGUGAGGGUCAUCUCCACUUUGAAAGUAAUAGCUGAAAGUUGGAGGUUCAUGCAGAUUAAACCAUUGGCCAUUGACGAACACCUCAAAAGAGGGAUGAACAGGGAAACCAGCCCUGCUGAAAAUUUUAAGAACAAAAUUAAAAAAUAAACGGUUCAAAGUUCCGAUUUUGUUUUGCCAAUGAAAGUUGCAGGAACGUGAACUAUAUUGCCUCAAUCUUUUCCAUUCAUUUUCUUUGCACACCUCUUGUUCAGAGAAGAACAAAUAUUUUGGUGAUCCUCGGACAUGGCGGCAAAUCCUCUUCUGGCAGGAAUGCAAGACAAUCGAUGAUGCAUAGCUGUUGAGGUCCUUCUCCGGGCAGGAAUUCCGAGAUUGCAUGGUGUUUUGAUCCGCAGAUUUCAAACUUGAUCGUCCAGAGGGUGUGAGCGGAAGAGAGCCGCUGUUGUUUGAGCAAUGUCUCCAACAGAUCCUCACUUCCCCUGAUCUGAAAUUCUCCAAGGGAGACAUAGCAUAGUUCGAUUCCACAGUUAAAAAAUACCCGAUAUUAUAAAUGCAAAUAUAGACAAGGUAAAAUGAAGAAAGAAAAAGAAAAGAAAGGUAAAUUAUAAUUUACAAAUCAUCAGUGUUCAACCGAGAAUCGAUAUAUAUCCUUCUGGUGAAAUCUGUAGCGUAACAACCAGCCUCCUUGUAUAGUAACGCGAUGUACUGGCAUUCGACCAAACACAGUUAAGUGGUGCUAAAUACAGAUAAGUGUCAAAUUAACUUUGAAGACAAUCAAUUUUGUUGGAAAAUUUGAGGACAAUCAAUUUAACAUAGCAACAGAUAAGUGGUACUAAAUACGUACCUGGCUUUGUCUUGAGAGUUGAGAGUUGGAGAGAGUGAAAUUAAGGCUCAUAUGGUGAUUUCAUCAUCUAUCUUUAUGCAAGGAAUGCGAGAUAUGUUCUCCAAUCUUUUCCCUUCUUGUUCCGAUACCUCUUCUUCAGAGAACCCCAGAUGCUCAGAUAAGAAAGAGAUGCCGGCAAACUGCAAACUCUCUUUCGGCAGGAAUUCAAGACUCUCGCAGCUUGAAAUUCGUAGCUGUUGAAGAGAAGUGAGGUGCUCAAGUCCCUUUCCGUUCAAAGAUUUCAGAUUUGAAAGUAUAGAGAUCCAGAGAGUGUGAAGAGUGGCAGGGAGCAGCUGUUCCCUGAGCAACGUCUCCAACAAAUCCUUGUUUCCUUGGAUCCGAAAUUCUCGAAGAGAGGCAAGUUCUUGCAAUCCCCACUCCACUGAAGGCCUCAUUCUCUCACAAUUUUCGAUCCAAAAUGUUUGUAGGUUGGGAGGCGAACCCCUUUGUGCAGGUGACACCAGAUAUGGAAGAUUUUGUAUCCACAAAUGUUGAAGGGCGGUGAGGGUGUGCAUUAGGGCCGGCAACAACUUCAAAUUCUUGCAUUUGGCUGCACAGUCCUGCCAACAACAACAACAACUUCAAUGCAGAAUAAUGCUUCUCCUUUCGCUACAGUCCUGCCAAUGAUAGAGUGGAAUUACUCUCCACUUCCACAGCAGCAGCCUCCAAAUCAGCUGCCAUCGGCAGCCAAUGACGUAGUGUUAUGGCCUAAAAUGUACGUGGUAGAGAAAAAUGAACCCCCGUGUGCACACUUGGCUGCACAUGAAUCAGGGCUGCACAUGAAUCAGAAAAACAAAUACUAUAUAUUAAGAGAAACAAUGAAUGGACCCCUUAGCGACUGGGAAAUCCUGCUAUGUGCGAUAAUGUACAUGAAUCACUACCACGGUUGAGUUGGUACUUACCAAGAAGGUUUCUAAAAAUUUGAGAGCCCGCUGCUCCAACUUUCACCAUCAAACUUGGGUUAAGGCGUAUCAUCGUCUAUUUCUCCACGCCACCUUCCUCUAGAGCAGUUAAUGAAUCAAAUGAUUGCCUGAACAUAUAGUGACCAAAUCUGCAAUGUUCAAAUAAUUUUUUACUUCGUUUGUUAACUUGCUAUGCGAGACACAUGACAUCACACAGGCUAAAAUAUAGAAAACACACCUCUGAGUCCAGAUGCAACUUUGAAUAUUCUCUUGAUUGCUCAUGAAAUCCACAAUGGCGAGAAGAAUGCUAAUAUAUAGAAAACAAGCCGACAAAUACGUUAGUCCCAUCGUGUUGUCCUGACUGAUUGCAUGGUUGAAUUACAUUGAUACAUCGUGUUGUCAGAUAGUGUUGAAGAAGAAUACUUGUCACAAUCAUCAGAUUCAGAUGAGGAGAUUGGUGAUUCUUCACAAGACGAAAAAGAACCAUUCGAUGUUUUUGAUCGUUUCAACGGUGAGCUUCAUAACCUCUUCACAGAUACAAAUUUGGAAACAAAGGCGACGUCGGAAGAGGCACCUAAUCAAACGCAUCAUAUGGUAGAAUUAGAAGAUGUGGAGCAAUUUGAUUUCAAGGAUAUUGGAAAAAACAAGAAAAUGUUAAAGUACAGUAGAAGGAAAAGGUCGGCUUGCGUAUCAGUCAAACGUGAGGCUCAAGAUCAAACUUCCAAAUUUUUGUCAAAGAUGAAAGUUUCAUUGUUUCCUCUGAAAAUGUCUUUAUUCCAUGAAAUGAAGACUGGGAAAGUUAAAGUCAGUAAGAGUGAGGGUGGAAGCAAGGGAGACAAGAAACUUCAAAGGGGUGUUAUCAGACUUAAUGAAGAUAAUUAGCUGGAAUGUUAGAGGAUUGGGAAGUAGACAGAAGAGACUGACAUUGAAACAGCAGUUUUGACGUUUACAGCCCGAUAUCAUUAUAUUAUAAGAAACUAAGAAAACAUCAAUCGAUAGGAGGCUUGUGGCUAGCGUGUGGGGAAGCAGAUUUAAAGAGUGGAUUUUCACCCCUGCUCAAGGAAGUUCUGGGGGCAUAACAGUAAUUUGGAACACCAAACACAUCUCAGUUACUGAAUCUCUGGUUGGAGCUUUCUCUGUCUCCAUAAAAAUUAAGGCUCUCAACGGGUUGGAAUGGUGGUUAUCAGGUGUCUAUGGCCCUUGUAAAAAUAGAGAGCGUAGAGAGUUCUGGGAAGAAAUGGCUGGCCUUUACGGCCUGUGCGGACCAAGAUGGUGUGUAGGAGGAGAAUUUAACGUGGUGAGAUUCGUAAAUGAGAAAUAAAAUGGGGGAAGGUUGACUACAAGCAUGAGGAAUUUUAAUGAUUUCAUUCGAGAAACAGAACUCAAGGAUUUGGAAAUGCACAACGCUCAAUUUACAUGGUCAAAUUUCAGAGAAGAACCUGUGUGUCGGAGGCUAGACAGAUUUCUGCUCUCUGUAGGUUGUGAAGAGAUUUUUCCAGAGGUAAGACAAAUGGCUUUGGCAAGGGUCAUCUCUGAUCAUUGCCCUAUCCAGCUAGAUUCCAACAAGGUGAAAUGGGGGCCAAGUCCUUUUAGAUUCGAAAACAUGUGGCUACAACAUCCAGAUUUCAGGAACAAGUUCAACGUAUGGUGGCAAUCUGAGCAGGUGGAGGGAUGGGAGGGUUACAAGUUUCUGUUCAAGUUAAAAGCCAUAAAAAAAAAGGUGCAAGUAUGGAGUAAGGAGAGUUUCGGGGAAGUCGAGAAAGACUUUAAAGAAGCCGAGGCCAGCUUAGAAGAGUUAGAUAGGAGAGAGGGGACGGAUGGGCUAGAUGUUGAUGCUAGAAGAAAGGGGGAAGAACUACUUUUCCUUGUGGGAGAUCUGGCUUACAAGGAAGAAGUGAAGUGGAGGUAGAGAAGUAAAGUGGAAUGGGCAAAGGUAGGGGACGGUAAUACUAAAUUUUUCCAUCGAGUUGCAAGUGGGAGAAGGAAGAGAAACUAUAUAGAAAGGUUGGAACCGGAUGUUGGGGGAGUGAUAGAGGAUGCGAAAGAGAUAGAAGAACAUAUCGUCAAUUUCUUCAAGUCCCUGUUUAGUAGCAACGAAGAGGCAUGUUGGGGCCUGGAAGGUAUCAAUUGGGCCCCAAUAAGCGAAUUUGAGGCAGAUUGGCUUGAGAGGCCUUUUGAGGAAGCCGAAGUUCAAAGAGCAGUUUUUGAUUGUGGAAAGGAUAAAUCGCCAGGACCGGAUGGCUAUUCUUUGCAAAUGUUUCAGCAUUGUUGGGAUAUCUUGAAGGCAGACAUUAUGAAGAUUAUGGAGGAGUUCUAUGACACAGGGAUAAUAAAUGCGGUGACAAAUGAAACUUUUAUUUGUCUAAUUCCGAAGAAGUCAGAUUCUUUGAAAGUGACAGACUACAGGCCUAUAAGUCUUGUUACUGGUUUGUAUAAAAUUAUGGCGAAAACCUUGGCCUCAAGAUUAAAGGAGGUAUUGGGCAGCACAAUUUCUCCAAAUCAAGGAGCGUUUGUUAAGGAUCGACAAAUUUUGGAUGCCAUCCUUAUUGCAAAUGAAGUGGUAGAAGAGGUCAGGCAAAAGAAAGAGGAGGGAUUGGUGCUCAAAAUAGAUUUUGAGAAAGCAUAUGAUCAUGUCGAGUGGAGAUUUUUGGAUGAAGUCUUACAAAGAAAAAUCUUUGGCAAUAGAUGGAGGAAAUGGAUGCAGGGAUGCUUAAGUUCGGCAAAUUUCUCCGUUUUGAUCAACAGGAGGCCUAGGGGAAAAUUUCAAGCGUCAAGAGGUUUGAGACAAGGUGACCCACUGUCACCUUUUCUUUUUACCUUAGUAGUCGAUGUCUUGAGUAGGUUAAUGGAGAAGGCUCAAGAAAAUCAUCUCAUCAAAGGUUUAUGCAUUGGGCAAGAAAAGGUGGAGAUUUCUCAUCUUCAAUUUGCAGAUGAUACCAUUUUUUUCUUGGCGGAAGAUGAGGGAGUUUGGAACAAUCUAUUAGAGGUGCUCAACUUAUUCUGUUCUGUUUCAGGGUUGAAAAUCAACAAAGCUAAGUGUUAUUUGGCUGGAAUAAACUCAGAUUGUGAGAAAUUAAAUAGGUUGGCAGAUUCUUGGGGUUGUGAGGUGGGUAGCUGGCCUAUAAAGUAUUUGGGACUCCCUCUUGGGGGUAGGCCAAGAGCACUUAAGUUUUGGGAUCCAGUGGUAGAAAGAUGGAAAAAAGACUUCAAAGCUGGAAGAAGGCCUUCUUAUCUACAACAACAACAACAACAACAACAAAGCCUUUUCCCACUAAGUGGGGUCGGCUAUAUGAAUCCUAGAACGCCAUUGCGCUCGGUUUUGUGUCAUGUCCUCCGUUAGAUCCAAGUACUCUAAGUCUUUUCUUAGAGUCUCUUCCAAAGUUGUCCUAGGUCUUCCUCUACCCCUUCGGCCCUAAACCUCUGUCCCGUAGUCACAUCUUCGAACCGGAGCGUCAGUCGGCCUUCUUUGCACAUGUUCAAAAUCACCGGAGCCGAUUUUCUCUCAUAUUUCCUACAAUUUCGGCUACUCCUACUUUACCUCGGAUAUCCUCAUUCCCAAUCUUAUCCUUUCUCGUGUGCCCACACAUCCCACGAAGCAUCCUCAUCUCCGCUACACCCAUUUUGUGUACGUGUUGAUGCUUCACCACCCAACAUUCUGUGCCAUACAACAUCGCUAGCCUUAUUGCCGUCCUAUAAAAUUUUCCCUUGAGCUUCAGUGGCCUACGACGGUCACACAACACGCCGGAUGCACUCUUUCCAUCCAGCUCGUAUUCUAUGGUUGAGAUCUCCAUCUAAUUCUCCGUUCUCUUGCAAGAUAGAUCCUAGGUAGCGAAAACGAUCGCUUUUUGUGAGCUUCGCUAGAUUGCUCCGGUCAUUAGUGUGGAUAAGUAUAUAAAUGGAUAGAGAUAGGAAAGCAAACACAAGAUGUACGUGGUUCACCCAGAUUGGCUACGUCCACGGAAUAGAAGAGUUCUCAUUAAUUGUGAAGGGUUUACACAAGUACAUAGGUUCAAGCUCUCAUUUAGUGAGUACAAGUGAAUGAUUUAGUACAAAUGACAUUAGGAAAUAUUGUGGGAGAAUGAUCUCGUAAUCACGAAACUUCUAAGUAUCGGAGUGUGGUGUCGUCUUGACUUGCCUUAUCUGUCUCAUAGGUAGAUGUGGCAUCUUCUCUGGAAGUACUCUUCCUCCAUCCAGGGGUGGUAUCUUUAACUGGUGGAGAUGCACAAGGUAAUGUAUCAAUUUCACUUGAAGCUUACUUGUAGUUUCAGGCUUGGUCAAGCGCGAUACAAACCAUGUAGUAGGAGUCCCCCAAGUCGCCGAGCUAGGGGGUCUGCUGAAAGAGGUGACAGACAAGGUAAGCAAUCAGAGCUCCGACUGAUUGUUCACCUUCUCCCCAUCUUGCAGCAGCAUGAAGGAUAAAGAGAAGAAAAAUGAGAAGAGAUGAUAUGAGAUACUUUUGCUUUUGAAGAAGUAACUUUCCACAGGCUUAUUCUUGAACUGAGCUGGAGGGUUUUCUGGUUUCCUCCAGAGUAUAAGGCCGACUGAAGAAUUUGAGGGUCAAAACAAGUCCAUCAAAUCUAGAGUACGUUCCACCCUGCUGAUAUGGGAUACUUUUGCUUUUGACAGAGUAAUGAAUGUAUCGGCACGUGUGCUGUUACGCUUGUCUCCACAUGCUUCCUUGUAUCCUUCGCACUUGCCCUAUCUGUUCCUCAAGCAGAUGCGGAAUCUUCCCUGGAAACAUAAGAUGUUGAAGAUGAGUACUCGAGAGCAAUGCCAGGUAAGUAAUCAGGUAAAAGGGUUCCAGGCAGUCAGUUCCUGGCUGGAAGCUUGAUUCCAAGUGCUGACUGAUUGCUCUCUUUCUCCUUGUCUUGCAGGUAAAAACAAGGCCAAAAGAAAAGACAGGGAAAAAGCAUGAUAUGGGAUACUCUUGCUUUUAACCCUGAUGAUAUGAGAUAUUCUUGCUCUAGUAUAGCUUGUUUGCAGAGGUAUUAUCGGGGGGAAAGAAAGCUGAAUAUUUCGAAAGGCUUCGUUGGGAGUGCCCUCUCAGAUAUGAUGAAGGGUUGAGCAUUUUUGCAGGUCUGCCUAUCCGUUGGGGAUGGAGGUCGACAUAUAUAGGAGUCUCCCUAACAACAAGUAGUAAUGCUAUUCCUUUUACCCUGCUUGGUCAUAGCACGGUAGUGGGAGCUGCCAGUUUCACAUGUUUUAACUCUGUCAGAGCACUUUGAAAAAAGUGGUCUGUGGUAUCUGGCUCUCGAGAUUCGGAGAACGAUGCCUCUUCGAUUUUUGAGAAAGCAAUCAUGCUGGGGGUAUGACUCUCGAGAUUCGGAGAGCAGUGUCUCUUCGAUUUUUGAGGAAGUAAUCAUGUUGGGAGUCUGGCUCUCGAGAUUCGGAGGGCGGUGCCUCUUCGAUUUUGGAGCAAGCAAUCUUGUUGGGAGUGUUGUCUCGAAUGUGAGUAGUAAAGGUUGGGCAUGUUUGCUAGUCUACCUUGCCACGAAGCACAAAGGUUGACACACAGGGAAUUUCCAAUUAUCCAGCAAUGGUACUGUUCCUUUACCCUCUCUUCGAUUUUGAGAAAGUAGUCAUGUUGGGAGUCUGGCUCUCGAGAUUCGGAGGACGGUGCCUCUUCGAUUUUGGAGCAAGCAAUCUUAUUGGGAGUGUUUUCUCGAAUGUGAGUAAAGGUUGGGCAUGUUUGCUAGUCUACCUUGCCACGAAGCACAGAGGUUGACACACAGGGACUUUCCAAUUAUCCAGCAGUGGUACUGUUCCUUUACAGUUGUGGGUAAUAAUAUGGUAGCUAGACCUUCAAAAUUUAUGUGUCUAAACUUUUUAGUGCUGUUUCUUUGCUAUUCUUUUACCUUUCUUGGUCAGAGCGAUGUAGUGGGAGCUGCAAGCUUCACGUGCUCAACUUUGGCAGAGAACUUUGGCAAAGUUAUUUGUGGUACCCAUGAGCUAUUGUUGCGUGUGGGAAGUGGGUGAUUGAACAGUAAGAUUCAUGUGCUUUCUACUUCACCAGAAGUCUUCGACAGAAUGCCCAUAAUUUCUGCAAAGCUGAGUGUGCGUGUGACAGGUGCUGACAAGGCUAGAAAAGUAGGUGCCUCUUCGAUUUCUGAGAUCGGCCCUCGUGGUCUCUGAGCAGCCCAGCUUUUGAGAAAGCGAGCGCCUCUUCGAUUGAUUCGGAGAACGAUGCCUCAUCGAUUUUUGAGAAAGCAAUCAUGCUGGGGGUCUGGCUCUCGAGAUUCGGGGAGCAGUGUCUCUUCGAUUUUUGAGAAAAGUAAUCAUGUUGGGAGUCUGGCUCUCGAGAUUCGGAGGGCGGUGCCUCUUCGAUUUUGGAGCAAGCAAUCUUGUUGGGAGUGUUUUCUCGAAUGUGAGUAAAGGUUUGGCAUGUUUGCUAGUCUACCUUGCCACGAAGCACAGAGGUUGACACACAGGGACUUUCCAAUUAUCCAGCAAUGGUAAUGUUCCUUUACCCUCUCUUCGAUUUUUAAGAAAGUAGUCAUGUUGGGAGUCUGGCUCUCGAGAUUCGGAGGACGGUGCCUCUUCGAUUUUGGAGCAAGCAAUCUUAUUGGGAGUGUUUUUCUCGAAUGUGAGUAAAGGUUGGGCAUGUUUGCUAGUCUACCUUGCCACGAAGCACAGAGGUUGACACACAGGGACUUUCCAAUUAUCCAGCAGUGGUACUGUUCCUUUACCCUUGUGGGUAAUAAUAUGGUAGCUAGACCUUCAAAAUUUAUGGGUCUAAACUUUGUUAGUGCUGUUUCUUUGCUAUUCUUUUACCCUUCUUGGUCAGAGCAAUGUAGUGGGAGCUGCAAGCUUCACGUGCUCAACUUUGGCAGAGAACUUUGGCAAAGUUAUCUGUGGUACCCAUGAGCUAUUGUUGCGUGUGAGAAGUGGGUGAUUGAACAGUAAGAUUCAUGUGUUUUCUACUUCCCCAGAAGUCUUUGACAGAAUGCCCAUAAUUUCCGCAAAACUGAGUGUGCGUGUGACAGGUGCUGACAAGGCUGGAAAAGGCUGGAAAAGUAGGUGCCUCUUCGAUUUCUGAGAUCGGCCCUCGUGGUCUCUGGGGAGCCCAGCUUUUGAGAAAGCGAGCGCCUCUUCGAUUUUUGAGAUCGGCCUUCGUGGUCUUUGAGCAGCCCAACUUUUGAGAAAGCAAACGCCUCUUCGAUUUCUGAGAUCAACCCUCGUGAUCUCUAAGCAGCCCAGCUUUUGAGAAAGCAAACGCCUCUUCGAUUUCUGAGCAGGCGCCUCUUCGAUUUCUGAAGCUUCGUCGAGUGCAGAUUUUUUAUAGGGGCUGGCAUUAAGUUCCAAAGCACACUUGAAUCUCCACCAGUAGAAGCUUCAUUCUUGCACUUCUAAGAUCUUGAUUUGUCCGACCUCUUCUCUCUUUCAACACCUUUGAAAAUGUCUGGCCCCUCCGACCGUCGUUUUGACUUGAACCUUGUUGAAGAGGCAGCCCUGCCUUCUCCAGACAACAUAUGGCGCCCAUCCUUCGUCUCCCCUACUGGUCCUCUUACCGUUGGGGAUUCCGUGAUGAAGAAUGAUAUGACCGCUGCGGUGGUGGCCAGGAACCUUCUCACUCCCAAAGAUAACAGACUACUUUCCAAACGGUCUGAUGAGUUAGCUGUUAAGGAUUCGCUGGCUCUCAGUGUUCAGUGUGCAGGUUCUGUGUCUAAUAUGGCCCAACGCCUAUUUGCUCGAACCCGCCAAGUUGAAUCAUUGGCGGCUGUGAAGUGAUGAGUCUCAAACAGGAGAUUAGAGGGCUCAAGCAUGAGAAUAAACAGUUGCACCGGCUCGCACAUGACUAUGCUACAAACAUGAAGAGGAAGCUUGACCAGAUGAAGGAAACUGAUGGUCAGGUUUUACUUGAUCAUCAGAGAUUUGUGGGUUUGUUCCAAAGGCAUUUAUUGCCUUCGUCUUCUGGGGCUGUACCGCGUAAUGAAGCUCCAAAUGAUCAACCUCUGAUGCCUCCUCCUUCUAGGGUUCUGUCCAGUACUGAGGCUCCAAAUGAUCCCCUUCCGGUGCCUUCUCUUUCUGGGGCUCUACCGACUGCUGAGACUUCUCCUAAGCAACCUUUGUGAAGGCUCCCUCUUGUGUGCUUAUUUUGACUCAUGUAUAUGUACAUAUUUGUAGCUUAUCGGGGAUAUCAAUAAAUAAGCUUUCCUUCAUUUCAACGUAUUGUGUUAAAUACACCAAAGCCUUCUUUCGCUAAGUUCUUUGAAUUUUCUUUUUGUUAAAGCUUGUAUGUUGAAGCUUUCUGAGUAGAGCAUGUAGGUUGGGGUAGUGUUCCCUUAAUUUCCCGAGUGAGGAAAACUUCUCGGUUGGAGACUUGGAAAAUCCAAGUCACUGAGUGGGAUCGGCUAUAUAAAUCUUAGAACGCCAUUGUGCUCGAUCCUGUGUCAUGUCCUUCGUUAGAUCUAAGUACUCUAAGUCUUUUCUUAGAGUCUCUUCCAAAGUUUUCCUAGGUCUUCCUCUACCCCUUCGGCCCUGAACCUCUGUCCCAUAGUCGCAUCUUCUAAUCGGAACGUCAGUAGGCCUUCUUUGCACAUGUCCAAACCACCGUAACCGAUUUUCUCUCAUCUUUCCUUCAAUUUCGGCUACUACUUUACCCCGGAUAUCCUCAUUCCUAAUCUUAUCCUUUCUCGUGUGCCCACACAUCCAACGAAGCAUCCACAUCUCCGCUACACCCAUUUUGUGUACGUGUUGAUGUUUCACCGCCCAACAUUCUGUGCCAUACAGCAUCGCCGGCCUUAUUGCCGUCCUAUAAAAUUUUCCCUUGAGCUUCAGUGGCAUACGGCGGUCACACAACACGCCGGAUACACUCUUCCACUUCAUCCAUCCAGCUUGUAUUCUAUGGUUGAGAUCUCCAUCUAAUUCUCCGUUCUUUUGCAAGAUAGAUCCUAGGUAACGAAAACGGUCGCUCUUUGGUAUUUCUUGAUCUCCGAUCCUCACCCCUAACUCGUUUUGGCCUCCAUUUGCACUGAACUUGCACUCCAUAUAUUCUGUCUUUGAUCGGCUUAGGCGAAGACCUUUAGAUUCCAAUACUUCUCUCCAAAGGUUAAGCUUUGCAUUUACCCCUUCCUGAGUUUCAUCUAUCAACACUAUAUCGUCUGCGAAAAGCAUACACCAAGGAAUAUCAUCUUGAAUAUGUCGUGUUAACUCAUCCAUUACCAACGCAAAAAAGGUAAGGACUUAAGGAUGAGCCUUGAUGUAAUCCUACAGUUAUGGGAAAGCUUUCGGUUUGUCCUUCAUGAGUUCUUACGGCAGUCUUUGCUCCUUCAUACAUAUCCUUUAUAGCUUGGAUAUAUGCUACUCGUACUCCUUUCUUCUCUAAAAUCCUCCAAAGAAUGUCUCUUGGGACCCUAUCAUACGCUUUUUCCAAAUCUAUAAAGACCAUGUGUAAAUCCUUUUUCCCAUCUCUAUAUCUUUCCAUCAAUCUUCGUAAGAGAUAGAUUGCCUCCAUGGUUGAGCGCCCUGGCAUGAACCCGAAUUGGUUGUCCGAAACCCGUGUCUCUUGCCUCAAUCUAUGCUCAAUGACUCUCUCCCAGAGCUUCAUUGUAUGACUCAUUAUCUAGAGGAGGUAAAUUAACUCUGAUUCAAUCUGUUUUGGGAAGCUUGCCGAUCUACUACAUGUCUUUGUUCAAAAUUCCUUGUGGGGUGAUUGGACGCCUAGAAAAACUAAUGAAAGGGUUUUUGUGGGAAGGUGUGGAGGAAGGAAAGAAAAACCACCUGUUAAAAUGGGACAUAGUUAUUAAAGGUAAAGAGGAAGGAGGUUUAGGGUUGGGGAAUUUGAGGAAUCGGAACGAAGCAUUACUUGCUAAGUGGUUGUGGAGAUUCCCAAAGGAACCUCAUUCCCUCUGGCACAAGGUGAUAAGAAGCAAGUAUGGGCUACAGAAUAACGGAUGGAAUGCAUUUCCUCCGAUGAGGGGUUCAAGUCGUAGCCCAUGGAAAGAUAUUUCGAGUGGUUCCCAAUCGUUUCUUCAUUGCUGUAAGUUUGAGGUGGGCAACAGGGAGAGGGUGAGGUUUUGGGAGGAUGGGUGGUUAGAAGGAGGACCAUUGAAAGAGCAAUUUCCUAGACUAUUCUUGCUAUCGAGGAUGCACAAUCAGAACAUUUCAAGUUUUGUGGAUCUUUCUACCAAUUCUUUGAGUUGGAAUUUUGAUUUCAGGAGAAAUUUGAAUGAGGCGGAGAUAGAAGAGGCGGCUAGAUUAUUACAGAAAGUGGAAGAGGUUCGCUUAUCUCAAUCAAGAACGGAUAACAGAAGGUGGAAACUGGAAGCAUCAGGAUUGUUCACAUGCAAAUCCUAUCGCUCCUUCUUGAGUAACAAUGGGAUUAUGCAAUAUUUUCCACCUUAUUCACAGAUUUGGAAAUCAAAAGUUCCUCCGAAGGUCAAAAUUCUUGUCUGGCUGGUGGCCAAAGGGAAGCUCAACACUUGUGACCAAAUUCAAAGGAGAAGCCAUUUUAUAUGCUUAUCCCCACAUUGGUGCAGUUUGUGCAAAGCUAGCGAGGAGAGUGUAAACCAUAUUUUUCUCCAUUGUUCUUACACGAUUCAAUUGUGGUGGAAAUUGUUUCAGGAGGUUAGAGCUAGUUGGGUCAUUCCAAAAGGUUGCUUCGAGCUUCUAAGCACCAAGUUUCAGGCCCUAGGAAUUGGGAGAAAAGCCAAAGUUUUGUGGGGUUGUCUGGUCUCGGCAAUUUUUUGGAACAUAUGGCUGGAGCGUAACAAAAGAAUUUUUGAGGAUUAUACGGGUGUGGGGGUAGAAGCACUUUGGGGAAGAGUAAAAUAUUGGGCAGCCCUAUGGGCUUCAGUCUCAAAUGAUUUUAAUAAUUACUCUCUUUCUCAAUUACUAUGGGAUUUGUUAGCAGCAGUAAAGUGAGUUAGGUCUAGCUAUUAUUGCUGUAGCCAAAUCCUAUUGAGUGUUUUUCUUGUAUCUUGUAAAUGGUGGAUUUCUUAUCCACUUCAGUGUAUUUCUAUUCUCUUUUAUAAAAUGUUUGUUUCUUCUCAAAAAAAAAUAAAGGAAGAACAAAUUACACUCUAGUGUUCAACUACGUACACUGAAAUCUGUAGGCGCAGCAGCUAGCCACCAAGUCUAGUUACACUGGCAUUCUAGCAAGCGGUGCCAAUAAACAUAUGUAUAUGCACCUACCACAAGAUGACAUAGGCAUUGAAAGAUGAGUAAGCAUUCCGCCAUAUGAAAACCACAGAAGUAUAUAUAUGCACAAGUACCUGAGUGGUUGAUGUAAGCAAACAUCGUUUUCCCUCUGAUACAUUCAAUCUUUAUAUAGCUGUUCAAGAGAGCUGAGGUCUGGAGGUCCCUGUCGCAGCAGGAAUUGCGAGAGUAGGAGAUGUUGAAAGUCCAUUUCCGUCCAAAAGAUUUCAAACUUGACAGUCCAGAAAAUCAGAGCACCAUUUGAUAAUCCUAUCUUUACAGGUUUGCUUGCUCGCUGCAUCUAUGAAACCGAUGUAUCACACCUACCAGAAGAUUAGAGUUAUGUCGCAAAAAAGAGAAGUAUGAGAAAAGCAUCAUCAAGGGUUUUAUCUCUUGUCAUGCAGGAGAAUCAUAGAUAUCGACCCCAAGUAGUUCCUUCCCGUCCAAAGAUUUCAGAUUCCAUACAUAAGAGAUUUUGAGAGCGUGAAGAGUGGCAGGGAGCAGCUGUUCAUUGAGCAACGUCUCCACCAGAUCCUUGUUUCCUUCGAUCCAAAAUCGUUGAAGAGAGGCAAGUCCUUGCAAUCCCCACUCAACUGAAGGCCUCAGUCUCUCACAAUUACCGAUCCAAAAUGAUUGGUUGGGAGGCAAACCCCCUUGUGCAAAUGACACCACGUUUGGAAGAUCGGAUAUCGACAAUUCUAAACCUUAACAAAAGGAAUAAGUGGUGUUGAUUCCAAGUGGUGAUGCUUCAUGAUUCUAAAACUUAUUAUGUAGUAUCAAUCGGUUCAUCAAAUUCAAAGGUUUGUGAUCUUACCACACUUCCUUGAAUGCAGUGCAGGGGUUCACCUACCUCUUGCUCUGAUUCAAUUCCGUUUAGUCCAGGAUCCAUUUUUUACUUCAGUACUCUAAUCUUUCUCUUUCUCUUCAUUUCGACAGCACUAUCCCAUUUUCCUGCACCAUCAUAGAGGUUCAACAAGAUGUUAGUUGCACUAUCUUGUGAGUCUAAACUUAAACCUGCUCUGCUGCACGAGCUUAGUAACGCUCUCCACAAUCCAAGAUCAUUUCCAUUAAACGGUUAACUGAUAACAAGUUCCCCUUCUGCAUCCAAUAAUCAACUUGACAAACUAACCAUGCAAGGGUAGUGCUUAGGCCUAGGAAUCUGAUUCUGAUUCAACCUCAUUUCAGUUCAUCCUCAAUUCAAUUCCUCACAAUCUGAUUAAGGAUUAGUAAACGAGCCAUUCUAUGUAUUCUACUCCAAUUCCAAAAGCUCUAUCUUCAACUUCCUGUAAAAAAAAAUUAAGAAACUUUUGGGCAUGACUUCAACUCUGUGUAGCACUUAAUGUUACAAGUGUAUUAGUCGUUAGAUUUAAUUUUCACAAUUAUUACAUUUUAUAUUUCCUAUUCUGAUUAUUUAUUUUCUGUAACACUCAGUACUUGUGAUAUUGUUGAUGGAAGUGAAGCGAAAACAAAAGUGGGGGAGUGUUGGAGCAAGGUAACCAGUUAUUACAGUGGCCGAAUAACAAGAUCCAGAAGUUCAUCCCAGAACCCAAAUGACGUUAACAAUUAUCCGAAGGGUGAUGGCUGUACAAUCCAUCUUUCCACUGGAAAGUCAACACAACCACCUCAGCCUUUAAGUACCAGGUCACAAGCUGUGCAUGGUACUGAAAAAAUAGUGAAAGACGCUAUCACCAAUAUAUCUGGUCAAAGAAUUAAUCAGUCAACAUCUUCUUCAUCUAACAAGUCUCAUGAUUCACAGAGAACUCAAAUAUCUGCUGGAAGGUCUGUUCCAAUUCAAUGUGAUAUAGACCUGUGUGCAGAGAAUUCAACAGAUUCUUCAGACAAGGAAAAUGAUGCAGAUCACUAUGCUGGUAGAAAGAUAAGUGCAGAAACUAAUUGUACUACUGAAGGAAUGUCAAAACCGGUCAAUUCACAGGCUUUGGUUCACAGGGGUACACAGUCCAGAUCCGCCUGCUUCAAGCAAGCAUUUGUCUGAAAAAAUGACACAGAGGGGUACACAGUACAAAGAGGUACCUUGUACUCAAACCUGUGAAUUUGUUAAAGCUGCAUCUGGUGGAGAAACAGAAAUUGAUCCUGAUGUAUCUGUUGAAGGUUCUGGAUCAAAAUUGGAUGGUACUGGGGUUAGAGUUGGAGUGGAAGUUUUAGCCUCAAGGCAGCCUGCUGAUUGUAAUGUGCUUGUGAAUCCCAAGCAACUUAAUUUUGAUGAUGUGGAAGAAUCCUGUAGGAAUGGAAGUUAUACUCCUGCUUUUAAUGAGGGAAUGCAGGGAAGAUCAUCAGAGAAAAGGUCUAUUUCCUUGAUGGACGCUGAUGAUAUACAGGAAGAAGGAAAGACUGUCAAUUAUCAAGAAAAUCAUAACUCGUCCCUGCCAAUGAAUUUUCUUGGGGAUCUGGAAGUUUCAGUCAAAGGGAAGGACCUCCAGAGUGGUCUAUCUGAAUCUCCUGCAGAGGAGGAUAGAAGUGUCUUGAAUGGAAAUGCUGUCUCAUCAGUAAAGGAGACAUCUGAUGUUCAUAAUGAUGCAGUUGCUAAUACGUUGCUAGAGAGCGGCAAUACAGACUCUUGGUGUGUAACAACCCGUCCCGGUUAACUGUUUUACGGACUUUGAAUCAGGAGGGCAGAAAUGUAAUUUCAUGGAAUUGGGAGUUUUGUUUUGAAAUGGGUUGUUUUAGUUCUUAAAUGGUGUGCCCAAGGUGGGGCCCACCCCUGUUUUGUCCCCCCGGCCUCUUCCCUUCGCUGCCACAUGGCAGCCUCCCCGAGCUCUUCCUCAACUCUCUCUUCUCUCAGUUCACUCACUCUCACACUCUCACUCUCGAAUCUCUCUCAGAGCUCACUCUCUCCCUUUCCCCUUCCCGAUCGACACCCACACACCCAGACACCCCCACACCCAAGGAGAAUCACCGACGACGACACCACCACACUCACCACUGUGAUAACACACACUCUCUCUCUCUCCCUCCUCACCUCUGUGGAACAAUGAGAACCUCCGGCGAACCCGUGGGUUUCGAGCAAGAAUUUGACCACCUCCGGCCACUUCACAGUGUGAGACAGGUACCAAACGCCCCCUUUCGUCUUUAUCUACUUUUUCGUACCUAUAUUGUAGCCUAGGGUUUAGUUUCGACGCAAUCGGACCUCGGGAGGCUCUGGCCUUCUCUCCUCGUUGAGAAACAGGCCUUCAAGCCCAAACCCACAGAGCCAAGACCUUUGGGCCAAGAAGCUUAGGGCCUUUGGCCCAUUGAAACAAAAACCCAAAAUCCUUUUGAAAUUAGGCCUUCGGGUCGAGUGGCAUGGGCCCUUGGCUCAAUCCUUGGGCUGGGCCUUAAGCCCAAAACCCUAAACCCAAUGACCCUAAACCUUUUUUCCUUGGGCCGGGCUCUAAGCCCAAAACCCUAAACCCAAACCUAUUGGACCCAAGCCCAAGAACCCUAGGCCCAACCGUAAGCCCUAAACUUGGUUAAUCCGAUUAACCCGACCCGAACCAUUGACUAUGACCAAACCUGGUCAAUGGUUAACAUGGACUUUGACUUUGACCGAUCAAAGAUCAACGUUGACUUUUUAACCUUUUUUUUCAGGUUUUUGUUCGGAACCCUUCCUAGGCUAAUUUCGACGUUCUGGAUCCAUUUCCAACAUCCAUUUUCCCAAGUUCAAUCGUUUGACUGUAGUUUUAUUAAUUGGACCUUUUAUGUGCUUAGGUGCAUAUAUUGUGACGUUUCCAUUUUUGCUAGCUUGCGCGGCUUUUCGACGGCAAAGUACUAUGAGUGAACCCUUUCUCAAAUGCAUGGUUUAAUAGUAGAAAUGCAUACAUGAAAAACAGGAUUUAAUGACUACGUUCGCUUUGAAUUUUUUAUUAUCAUGAUAUACUGAGAAUAUUUUGGAAUACCAUAUUUUAUCAUACUUAUGUUCUUUGUAGUAUAUAUGAUGGAUGACUAUAUACUAUUUAUGAACAUGUUUUUACACUUCUUUAUAUAUAUGAUGGAUGACUCAAAUGGGAUGAAGCCACAUCCUACUCCAAUGGCUCAAAGUCCUCGCCCGCACGAGCUAAAACUGCACAAGGCAUCAACCGCUCCAAUGCCUUAAAGUCCUCACCCACAUGAGCUAAAACUGCACAAGGCAUUAAAAGCUCCAAUGGUUUAAAGUCCUUGCCCGCAUGAGCUAAAACUGCACAAGGCAUUAAAUGCUCCAAUGGCUUAAAAUCCUUGCCUGCACGAGCUGAAACUGCACAAGGCAUCAAACCCCAACAAAACACAUAAAGAACUACGAGUGACUUGAUCCCUCAAUGAGAGUACGUAGGCAAUCUAGGGCUCUACCUAAACGCAGUCACAAAAUCAAAUAAACACCCAAGUUAGGAUUUAUUCAUAUUAGAAUCAAAGGGUAUUCCUUUCCCAAAUGAAGGGUUGUAAUUAAUAGGCGCGUAGCCUAGAAUGGGUCAAACUCGAAUUAAUAAAAAAAAUGAACGAAGGUGAAACUGUGUCAAGUGAAUUAUUUAUUUACAUAUUGUGUACAAUUCUUUUGCUCAACAUGUAAAUUUCAAAGACUGCAAGCAAAACCAAGUUUUCUGUCUUUAGUUUUCUUUCAUUACUUUUUUUAUAUCCAUUUUCUAACAUGUCAUUACAUAAUCUGAUUGUGUGCUCAUCUCUUUUUAAUUGUAUUAUUGUAUCAGGCAAAGAAAACCACAUUUAUGGCAAGGACUUUAUGCAGAACGGGCAGGGAACCACCAAUAUUUUGGUGGAUCUGCCAAAUGCCUUAAUUGUUGCUGGAGAUUCAAGAGUUACAGCAUAUUCCGGCGAAAGUAAUAUUUCUUUAUCUUUAACUAACAAAUUGAUUAUUAUUUAACUAUGUUUAUUGUAUAUGUAGUAUAUUAAUUGGUUCUAAUUUAUGUAUACAGUUAGACCCGAAGAAAAGAAAGUUAAACACAUUUCUAAGAAUCCUCCAAUACGAGCAACAUGGUGUCAUGAUCAAUAUGAACAUAGUCAAACCUGUGAAGUGGAAGAGGGAAAAAUAGGCGAAUUUUCAAGCAAGGAAAGAAGCAUUGCUCUCUCCUAAUGGACUCUAAUAUAUUCCUUGUGAAUAUAUGUCCUAACAUCUGAUGCGCAUCACAUUGAUCAUGACACCAUGUUGCUCGUGUUGGAGGAUUCUUAGAAAUGCGUUUAACUUUCUUUUCUUCGGGUCUAACUAUAUACAUAAAUUAGAACCAAUUAAUAUACUACAUAUACUAUAAACAUAAUCAAAUAAUAAUCAAUUUGGUAGUUAAAGAUAAAUAAAUAUUACUUUCGCCGGAAUAUGCUGUAACUCUUGAAUCUCUAGCAACAAUUAAGGCAUCUGGCAGAACCACCAAAAUAUUGUUGGUUCCACGCAUGCUCUGCGUAAAGUCCUUGCCAUAAAUGUGGUUUUAUUUGCCUGAUACAAUAAUACAAUUAAAAAGAGAUGAGCACACAAUCAGAUUAUGUAAUGGCAUGUUAGAAAAUGGACAUAAAAAAAGUAAUGAAAGAAAACUAAAGACAGAAAACUUGGUUUUACUUAGAGUCUUUGAGAUUUUCUGUUUAAUUGUUCUCGUCAAAUUGCUUGUCUACUUUUAUUUGGUCUUUUAUAAUGUAUAAGAUUGUGUUUGAUAGGGUGAAUAUACUGAUGAACUGAACGUAGUCAAACCUCCUGAUACAAGUCCCUGUGAAGUGGAAGAGGGAAAAAUAGGCGAAUUUCAAAGCAAGGAAAGAAGCAUUGCUCUCUCCUAAGAGGGAAAAAUACCGACUAUACGGACUACAGAAAAAUUACUGCUACUUUCAUUGUCAGAUGGCAUCAGUAGUGUUUUUAACUUUUCUUUAUCUUUAUCCCUACCAUAGGGACAGAAUCCUUCCUCAACUACAUAAGUUGUGGGAGUUCUUUGUGAAACCUUGAGCCCAAUACCUUCUCUAAGACCAAGGUGAUUUCGCUGUUCUGCAAGGUGUUCUAACCUCUGAAAUAACUCCUCUAUCCUACCAUUCAUGCCAUUGUAAUUAAAAGGAAUACGAGAGGUAGAGAGGAAAUUGCACACCUGGGUGUGCUUAGUCUGAUCUGCCGACGCAAAGCUUCAAUAUCCAUCUCAUCCACCAAGUCCUUGGUAUCGAACACAGCAUCUUUGACUCGUCAAGCCACAUCCCCACAGCAGGGUUGACAAUCUGCUUCUCUUCUGCAUCGUUGAGCACUGCGUGGAGGGUCAUCAACGUCACCUUUAGCUUGUCCACGAGUGAAUGGUUGAGUCUUCUUGCCGGAAGAAGUUCACAAACUCUCCGGAGGCAAUCUUGUCGCACAGCACCUGGAUGGAACCGAAGAGCAAAGCCUCUCCAACCAAAGCCAUUUUCUCUCUUCGUGGCCAAAGGACUAAUUUUGAUCAAGUAUUUGAAGUUGGGAAACUGAAAAUUGUUCUUGGCAAAGGCUGUUAAGAUUACUUCAUGACUGGUGAGAUGACUUGAUAAUUUUUUGUCAAUAAUGCAGUGGACCACACACGGCAAACAUAGUAAAAAAGAAUCAUGCAAUGUAUUUGGAUAUCAACAUUUUUCCGUAUGAUAUGAUCACGUGGACCCCACCCAUCCUCUUGUCACCAUCCUCCACCAUCCUUUUGUCAUUAUUUCUACUCUAAUUCCAAAGCAUCUUCGUGUGAAAAUAAAGUAAGAGAGUUUCGGGAUAACCUCAAUAUUAUGUAUCAUUUAAUGUACUGUAUUAAUAAUUGGACUCAAUUUCUACAAUUAUUAUUUACUUUUUAUAUUUUCAAGCUCAACCUCUUAUUUUCUACAACACUCAAUACCACGUGCUACGGAUAUUUUUUUUUUUUGAAAAGUUUCUUACUUUUUCUUGCUUUGCCUAUAUAUUUUCAACAUUUAUGGGAUCAUUCGUGUUCAGGAUUUGGUUUGCAUAUAUAUUCAACAUUCAUGGGACCAUUCGUGCUUUGCCUAUAUUUUCUUCGGUUAGCCAAUUUUGUGUCAAGGUUUCCAUGUUUUUGCACAAACUAUUAAGCAAACACUCUAGUUGCAUACUUAUAUUGUCAAAUUAUCGAAUUUGAUACUACAAAAUUAUACAAAAGUAUACGUUAUCGCUCUUUAAUUCAGAUUAACAGUGCGCUCCCUCUUCUGCAUCUAAAUUUAGGGCUGGUUCGGUAUAGGAUACCGAACCGAAAUCCUUGUCCCAAUUCCCAAACCGAAGUUUUCGGGAAUCCCAAUUUCAAGACCAAUCCCAAACCAAAAUUUCGAGAAUCCCGAAAUAGUUUCGGGGAUUUCGGGACAAAUCGGGAAUCACGAAAUAGUUUGGGCUUUUGGGCAUGUGAGGAAACAAUUAAGGAAACAAUGAAGAUAAAGAGAAUUAAAGAGUAUGAAGAUAAAGUACUAACCUUAACUCGUAAACCUUAAGUACUCAAAAGGUCUUCCUAAUCCAAUCAAACGGCUGCAAAACAAAAUUACAAAAUAUUAGACUUAAUUGUUAGAUUAAUAACUUAUAAAGGCAAAAUAACAAUGAUGCAAACAUAGGCUCUGGGAAAGUGCAAAAAAACAGUGGCUGACGAUUUUAAUUCUUUACCUUUACAGGAUUAUGAUCAUCUGCUAAUGAUUGUAAUUCUUUCACACAGAGCAAAUUAAAACAAAUCUCCAAUUGUGCUACUCAGUACCUAAAACAGUAUAGCACGAUUUUGAAAUUAUAAACCGAUUAAAGUUUCAGCAACAAGCAGAUUACUCAAUCAGAAAACACAUUCAUCAGGAUUUGAACCCAUGGGAAUCGGCUGUAAUUAAUAAUUAUCAAUAACUAAAAGCAAUGAACCAGAAAUUCUAGCAAAAAUAAUUCGCAAUUGCAGAAAUACAGUAAAAUCUGCAUUCCAAUCAAACAGAGGGCAUGGAAAAUCGAAGUGUGGAUGGGAAUUUACAGAGCUGGACGAGCCAAACUAAAUUUCAGGCCUAACUAGUAACUACAUCAUUAUUCAGACACAAUCCAAAACAAUACUGCUAUGUUAUAUAUUGUAAACAAAAUUAGCUUACUGUAACUCAACCAUUGAAGCCCACCAAUCCCCCUAUAAUCCAAAACAACACCUUUCUCCUGCAGGUCCUGCACUGCACCCACCCUAAACCGGAACCUAUCCAACCUGAAACCCUCCCAAAAACCUGCACCCAAAUCCGAAACCCACAGUCCUCAAACCCUCACACAUUCGACAAAAUGCUCGGAAAUCAAGUUAAUCAACAUGAAAUUUGACCUUAAACCCUAAAGAAAAACCCAGUGAAAAUCAGAAACCCUUACCUGGAUUUUGGGUCUCGAUUCGUGUCGGACUCGCAUCUUCCUGCGUCUGUGUGUGUGGCCGGAUGAGCGCCGUUGAAGUGGACGGAGGAGCGGCGUUCGAACUGGACGGGCUUGACGGAGGACGGGAGGAGCGCUGGAGCGCCGUUCGACCUUUGUUCUUCGAGAGAGUGAGAGUGAGUGAGCGAUUGAGAGAGAGAGGGGGAAUUAACUUACAAUGGACGGUAGGAUUUAAUCUUAACCAAUCUAACGGCCCAAGUAAUUUCUAAUUAUAAAUUAAAAAAAAAAAA